RNAcentral lists this unclassified non-coding RNA (336 nucleotides) under soil metagenome. RNAcentral describes it as "partial contains 5.8S ribosomal RNA, internal transcribed spacer 2, and large subunit ribosomal RNA". The stretch from base 1 to 120 matches the Rfam family "5.8S ribosomal RNA", at positions 35 to 154 of the family's 154-position model. The record is from RNAcentral.
GAUGAAGAACGUAGCGAAAUGCGAUAAGUAAUGUGAAUUGCAGAAUUCCGUGAAUCAUCGAAUGUUUGAACGCACAUUGCGGCCCCUGGUAUUCCGGGGGGCAUGCCUGUCCGAGCGUCAUUGCAACCUUCAAGCGCGGCUUGUGUGUUGGGUCUCGUCCCCCGUGGACGGGCCCGAAAGGCAGUGGCGGCGUCCCGACAUGGUGCCCGAGCGUAUGGGAAUCCUCUUCCGCUCGAAUCGGCCCAUGCGGCGCUGGUCGUAACCAAAUUUUUUACCGGUUGACCUCGGAUCAGGUAGGGAUACCCGCUGAACUUAAGCAUAUCAAUAAGCGGAGGA